AAAUUGAACACGUGGCACAGAAGACACUAAUAUUUAAGGAUGUGGAGACAAAAAAACUGCUGAUUUUUGCUAUUUAGGCACAUUAUCCCUACCUCUUUUCAUUCUAUAAACACAGCUCUAAACCAGAUACAAUAGUAUACUGAAUUCUUUUCUUCAGCAGUGGCCAAGAACUUAAAAAAAAAAUAAUGUCAGAGCAUGCCUAAUUAUAAUUAGUUAAUAAAUGUACCCAUAACAGACAUGGACACAAUCAAUUUGUUGUUCCUCCAGGGUAUAUUCCAGCAAGAAUGGGCUCCUCAAGCAAACUGAAAUAUCUACUACCUUAUUCAUUCUGGCUUCUUCAAGUUCAGGCAGUUAUCUGUUGCUUGGUUAAACAACUCCUGGACCUGCUUUAGCUCCUUCUCUGCAGCUUCCAGUUGUUUUUGAAGUUCUUGGCCAACUGCAUCGUUCUCAGCCUGGAGUUCUGCAAUUCUUUUCAAUUGGGCUUCUUCACUCCCAUCCGAUAAAGGAAGAGCAGCAACCAACACAUCGAACUGCUUGGCAGCCUUAACAAAAGCAGCACUCAUUUGCUUUGGUUGUUCUGCAACAUUAGCUGAGUCUUCUGUGGGAUUAGCAGGUGGAGGUUCUGGAUAAUUAGGUGAUAGACGCACAGGAGGGGCGUCCCUCUGAAGAGUACCAAAGGUGUUGAAAGCAAGAGCUGCAAUUGUAUUUACUUGUUCCUGUAACUGUGAUAUGAUAUCCAUCUUCCAAAUCCUUCCCUUUAUUGCUGAAAACCCUAGAAUUGGAGGUCCGGG
This 791-nucleotide unclassified non-coding RNA is filed under the name Hevea brasiliensis (rubber tree). Lineage: Eukaryota; Viridiplantae; Streptophyta; Magnoliopsida; Malpighiales; Euphorbiaceae. The record is from RNAcentral.